Molecule: ribosomal RNA, 277 nt
Filed under: uncultured bacterium
Lineage: Bacteria
Description: partial 16S ribosomal RNA
Rfam family: Bacterial small subunit ribosomal RNA
Source: RNAcentral
GACGAACGCUGGCGGCGCACCUAAGACAUGCAAGUCGGACGGUCCUUUCGGGGACAGUGGCGGACGGGUGAGUAACACGUGGGGGACCUACCCUUGAGUGGGGGAUAACGGCGGGAAACCGGCGCUAAGACCGCAUACGACCCUUAGCGUAGAGGUUAAGGGGGAAAUGCCGGAAGGCAGCUCGAGGAGGGGCUUGCGGCGGAUUAGCUAGUUGGGGGGGUAACGGCCCACCAAGGCGACGAUCCGUAGCUGGUCUGAGAGGACGGCCAGCCACACC